CCUACGGUGGGCAGCAGUGGGGAAUAUUGCACAAUGGGGGAAACCCUGAUGCAGCAACGCCGCGUGAGUGAAGAAGUAUUUCGGUAUGUAAAGCUCUAUCAGCAGGGAAGAAAAUGACAGUACCUGACUAAGAAGCCCCGGCUAACUACGUGCCAGCAGCCGCGGUAAUACGUAGGGGGCAAGCGUUAUCCGGAUUUACUGGGUGUAAAGGGAGCGUAGACGGCUGCGCAAGUCAGAAGUGAAAGCCCGGGGCUCAACCGCGGGACUGCUUUUGAAACUGUGUAGCUAGAGGGCAGGAGAGGUAAGUGGAAUUCCUAGUGUAGCGGUGAAAUGCGUAGAUAUUAGGAGGAACACCGGUGGCGAAGGCGGCUUACUGGACUGUAACUGACGUUGAGGCUCGAAAGCGUGGGGAGCAAACAGGAUUAGAUACCCGAGUAGUC
Molecule: ribosomal RNA, 440 nt
Filed under: uncultured bacterium
Lineage: Bacteria
Description: partial 16S ribosomal RNA
Rfam family: Bacterial small subunit ribosomal RNA
Source: RNAcentral